UACGUAGGGUGCGAGCGUUGUCCGGAAUUAUUGGGCGUAAAGGGCUCGUAGGCGGUUUGUCGCGUCGGGUGUGAAAACCUUGGGCUUAACUCAGGGCUUGCUUUCGAUACGGGCAGACUAGAGGUAUGCAGGGGAGAACGGAAUUCCUGGUGUAGCGGUGAAAUGCGCAGAUAUCAGGAGGAACACCGGUGGCGAAGGCGGGUCUCUGGGCCGAUACUGACGCUGAGGAGCGAAAGCGUGGGGAGCGAACAGG
This 253-nucleotide ribosomal RNA is filed under the name uncultured bacterium. RNAcentral describes it as "partial 16S ribosomal RNA". It matches the Rfam family "Bacterial small subunit ribosomal RNA", at positions 524 to 776 of the family's 1533-position model. The record is from RNAcentral.